GGGUGGUGGCGGGCCAUCAGGCUUCCCCCCAUCCUCUCCCUUCGUGUCAGGGUCGAGCUGAGCCACCAUGAGGGCUUCAACCUGCUCCAGGGUCUCAGCCUGGAGUCUCUUCCCCAGGUGUCUUUUGGCCCAGAUGGAGGCAACUUGAAAGGGGGCAAGCCAAUCAAGUUUGGGCAGUGCAGACAAGACGCGUAGCUGGGACGCUGCCCUGUGGCCUGGUAGCGUUGGCGGGAGCGGUACUGGGCUGAGCGGGGUCUGGGCCUUUCUCCCCGGGGCCGUCUAUAGCGGUCACGCCGUGUGCUCGAGCUGUGAGGAGCAAGUGAAGCAGAGGAGUGAGCAGGCUGAGAAUUUAAAGGU
Long non-coding RNA from Morone saxatilis (striped sea-bass), 357 nucleotides. RefSeq lists it as uncharacterized. The transcript is spliced from 3 exons. NCBI's taxonomy places the organism in Eukaryota, Metazoa, Chordata, Actinopteri, Moronidae. The record is from RefSeq and is a predicted model, not a curated record.